RNAcentral lists this transfer RNA (75 nucleotides) under Eubacterium sp. Its description in RNAcentral is "tRNA-Glu". It matches the Rfam family "tRNA". From Rfam's summary of the family: Transfer RNA (tRNA) molecules are approximately 80 nucleotides in length. Their secondary structure includes four short double-helical elements and three loops (D, anti-codon, and T loops). The record is from RNAcentral. Lineage: Bacteria; Bacillati; Bacillota; Clostridia; Eubacteriales; Eubacteriaceae.
CAUCCCUUCGUCUAGUUCGGUUCAGGACACAAGACUCUCAAUCUUGAAACACAGGUUCAAAGCCUGUAGGGAUGG